AAUCUUUUGGAUAUUGUUCACACAGAUGUGGCGUGAAGUGAGAAAAAAAGCAGUAAAACGUGUUAAAAGCAUAAUUAAUGUCAUUGUUGUGGAGGAAGAUUUGAUUUAAACCCCUCUGACUUCUGUAUUGGUGACGGCUGAUUUCUUUAUCGCGCACAUAGAGUCACUAGGUACCGACCCGAGCUUCAGAACGCUAACUUGUUAACUGAGUGAUUAGUUAAAAGACAGGGAGAAAAAAGGAAAAGACAAAGAAAGAGCAAGUGAGAGGGCAGGCAGAGGAACACUGCUGAGGAGAUGAGAAGCGAGAGAAGAGGGGUAAUGAUCGGACCUGCUCAUCAGUCAACGCAAGGAUUCAGUACUUUGCGCCCGAUCGCAUUUAGCAGGGUUGAAUAACCCAGAGCCCGAUGACAUCAGGACCUAAGAGCUGCUGACUCUGCCUGGAGCGCUUUGUGUCCUGCAUCCCUGAGCCACGAGAGCAUCCUUACUUCCCUGGGAGGUCACAGGUCCUAGGGACUUUGGUUUGUCUUGGCUAACAGUCUCUCGUGUGGCCAUAUUGAAACUUACUGAGCCCCUGCCGGACACUGGGCUUCUGGGUGCUCAGGGGAUGUAGCUUAUUGGCACUGCUCUUUAGACCUGAGGACAAGGAAGAAAACUUGGGAAGAAAAUAUGCUGUAGUGACGUAUUGGCCACAAACCCAUGAUCAGUGGUCAGAAAAAAUGGGACUAUUUUUCUCUCGUUUUUGCUCCUUUAUUUGCUCAUCUACUAAAUAUCUUCUCAUAUGUUAUGAGCCACUUCUGUUUAUUCUUUUGUAAGUCACUGAUUUGUAUGUCCUUUCUGUCAGAGGGUAAAUCAUUUUCUUGUUGAUUUGUAGAUGCUCUUUGUAUAUUAAGGAUAUUUACCUUUGUGCUGGUGCACAUUUCAUGUCUUCUCCCCUAGUUUGCCUUUUGUUUUUUACCUUUGUGAUAAUGUCUCGUAUAUAGAACAUAGCAAGUAUUCAAGAAUCAUUUGAAGAAAUAGAGAAUCUUAC
This 1027-nucleotide long non-coding RNA is filed under the name Heterocephalus glaber (naked mole-rat). RNAcentral describes it as "lncRNA (ENSHGLG00100043645.1)". The record is from RNAcentral. Lineage: Eukaryota; Metazoa; Chordata; Mammalia; Rodentia; Bathyergidae.